RNAcentral lists this ribosomal RNA (253 nucleotides) under uncultured bacterium. RNAcentral's name for it is "partial 16S ribosomal RNA". It matches the Rfam family "Bacterial small subunit ribosomal RNA", at positions 524 to 776 of the family's 1533-position model. The record is from RNAcentral.
UACGUAGGUGGCAAGCGUUGUCCGGAUUUACUGGGUGUAAAGGGCGUGCAGCCGGAGAGACAAGUCAGAUAUGAAAUCCACGGGCUCAACCCGUGAACUGCAUUUGAAACUGUUUCCCUUGAGUGUCGGAGAGGUGAUCGGAAUUCCUAGUGUAGCGGUGAAAUGCGUAGAUAUUAGGAAGAACACCAGUGGCGAAGGCGGAUUACUGGACGAUAACUGACGGUGAGGCGCGAAAGCGUGGGGAGCAAACAGG